Non-coding RNA from Otolemur garnettii (small-eared galago), 65 nucleotides. Lineage: Eukaryota; Metazoa; Chordata; Mammalia; Primates; Galagidae. The record is from Rfam.
GCCUUUUUUCCCCAGACUUGUUGGCGUAGGCUACAGAGAAGCCUUCAAGCUCUGAGGGAAAGGGC